This 799-nucleotide small RNA is filed under the name Arabidopsis thaliana (thale cress). Its description in RNAcentral is "ATSL078400". Lineage: Eukaryota; Viridiplantae; Streptophyta; Magnoliopsida; Brassicales; Brassicaceae. The record is from RNAcentral.
AGAUUUGGAAAGGAUACAAUACAUAUGAAAAUGAAGAGUUUAGACUUCAAAGAGACACAAAGUUCGACCUAUGAGGAAGGGUUUUUUCGAGAACAUUGCAAAAACCAAACUAAUCUUAACUCGAAACUAAACGAAGCUUUCGAAGCUCACCACAAGGACUUCUCGCACAACAAACUGUGAAGACUUGCUUCAACACUUAUGGCAAUAACAAGAUAGUGAAACUUGGUUUUCUCCGGAAAUGAUGCUUCUUUUUCAAAGAGUGCCUAAGUCAAGGGUUUCUCGGAUGAACCGUAAAAUAAUCGAGAACCACUUAAACCUUUCAACGCCACAACGAUCAAUUAAUUAAGCUAACCUUUGCUUAAUACAACAAAAGAAGAACUGAUAACGUAAUCCAAGAGCUCAACCCCAAACUAACAAAAUCUAAGUUAGUCGGGAAAGAGAAGCUAAACCCAAAAAAGGGAGACAAUAGCCCAAACAAGAGAGAUAAUUUAACCUAAGCUGCUGAUGUUACCAGAUCUCACGAAGACAAACUGAUCAGAGCAACAAGUUUCACAAAAGCAGAAGACAUGAACCGUAUCUUGGUUAUGUGAUUCAAAAAAGAAUUGUCAAUUAUUCGAUGAAAAAUAGAUAAAAUAUGACUUUAUGCAUUAACCGUAACUAAUUUAGAUAUAUGCUUUCAAUUAUUAAAAUCAUCCAAAAAACAUAGUCAAUCUGGUUCUGAUUAAAUAGUUUGAAAAUUGUAUGUCAUGAAUGGGUUUAAAUGUUGUAAGAAUAUGUAUAAUAUCAUAACCUAAUCGGC